AGGGUUCGAUUCUGGCUCAGGAUGAACGCUAGCGACAGGCUUAACACAUGCAAGUCGAGGGGCAGCAUAGAAGUAGCAAUACUUGGUGGCGACCGGCGCACGGGUGAGUAACGCGUAUGCAACCUACCUAUCGAGAGGGGAAUAACCCGGCGAAAGUCGGACUAAUACCGCAUAAAACAGGGGCACCGCAUGGUGAUAUUUGUUAAAGAAAUUCGCUGAUAGAUGGGCAUGCGUUCCAUUAGGUAGUUGGUGAGGUAACGGCUCACCAAGCCGACGAUGGAUAGGGGAACUGAGAGGUUGGUCCCCCACACUGGUACUGAGACACGGACCAGACUCCUACGGGAGGCAGCAGUGAGGAAUAUUGGUCAAUGGGCGGGAGCCUGAACCAGCCAAGUCGCGUGAAGGAAAGAAGGAUCUAUGGUUCGUAAACUUCUUUUGCAGGGGAAUAAAGUGCAGGACGUGUCCUGUUUUGUAUGUACCCUGAGAAUAAGGAUCGGCUAACUCCGUGCCAGCAGCAGC
RNAcentral lists this ribosomal RNA (519 nucleotides) under uncultured bacterium. RNAcentral describes it as "bacterial SSU rRNA". It matches the Rfam family "Bacterial small subunit ribosomal RNA", at positions 8 to 518 of the family's 1533-position model. The record is from RNAcentral.